This 3670-nucleotide long non-coding RNA is filed under the name Ananas comosus (pineapple). Its description in RNAcentral is "long non-coding RNA (ACOM_LNC021421)". Lineage: Eukaryota; Viridiplantae; Streptophyta; Magnoliopsida; Poales; Bromeliaceae. The record is from RNAcentral.
UUCUCCCGUGGGGUAGUAUUCAUGAUGUAGAUUAAAGUAUGUGUAUGUAUGGUUAUCAGGUAUUGUGGAUCCAUGGCUUCCAAUAAACGCAAGCGUCUAUUGUUAAUUACCCCCACAAAGUGUUAGGGCACCUUCGAUUAAGAGACCUUUGUUAUGCUAAAAAUUAAAUAAAAGAUGAACGAAAUUCAGUGGAUUGAAUUUGAUUCUGAACCAGGGUGUAUAUAACCCUAAUGUAAAUUGGGAUUCGAUCGGGUUCAAAUUGGACUUAAAUAUAUGAUAAAGUCCAAUCAAGCUCUGUAUGUUUAGAGCUCAAUUGAGUUCGCCAUAAGACCAAACCCUAAUUAUAUAUAUUAGGAUUAGUCAUCAUUUGUCUUAAAUUAGACUCUAAGUGUAUAUAUUAGAGCCCAAUUUGGUUUCACAUGAGCCAAAUCCUAAUUAUAUAUAUUAGGAUUAGUCAAAAUGUAGUUGACAUUAAACUCUAAGUAUAGGUAUUAGAGUCUAAUUUGGUUUCAUAUGGGUUCACCCUAAGGUGGUUUAUAGGCCGAAUCCUAAUUAUAUGGGUUAGGAUUAGCCAAAGAUUAAACUCUAAGUGUAUGUAUUAGAGCUUAAUCAAGAGAUGAAAUUUAAACUCCAAGUGUAUGUAUUAGAGUUUAAAUUAGUGAACUUUGAGUGGAUAUAUCAGGGUUCAAUCGCAUAUGAUUUGAUCAAUUCUAAUCAGGUAUUUUAGAAUUUGAUCGAAUUUAAAUAAGUCAGGAUUCUAACUCUAGUUGUAUGUGCUAGAGAAGAGAUUUGAUUUGGAUUUGACAUAGGAUCAAGGGGAUUUUAAUUUGGGUUCAAAAGAGGCUCAUUUGGAUUUUGGACUCCUUUUGGGCUUUGAUGGGAAUUUGAGUUUCAUAUGAAAAUUGAGCUUAAAAUGAGCUCAAUUUGGAUUUGGUAUGGAAAUUUGGGUUUUAUAUGAGAAUUGGGCUCAAAGUGGGCUCAAUUUGGAUUUGAUAUGGAAAUUUAGAUUUUAUAUGGUAAUUGGGCUCAAAGUGGGCUCAAUUUGGAUUUGAUAUGGAUAAAUAGGUUCAAUUUGGGUUUGAUUUGGAUUUCAUUUGGACUGGGCAUGAGAAUUUGGAUUUUAUAUGGUAAUUGGGCUCAAAAUGGGCUCAAUUCAUAUGUGGAUUUUGGGCUCAAAAUGGGCUCAAUUCAUAUGUGGAUUUUGGGCUCAUUUUGGGCUUAAUUCAUAUGUGAAUUUUGGGCUCAAAAUGGGCUUAAUUCAUAUGUGGAUUUUGGGCUCAAAAUGGGCUUAAUUUGGAGUUGGACUUGAUUUGGGAUUAAUAUGGGCUCAUUUCGUUUUGGAUCUGAAUUCGGGCCCAAUAUGGGUUGAAUUCAUUUUGGUUUGGAUUCGGGCUCAAUAUGGACUGAAUUCAUUUUGGAUAUGGAUUCGGGCUUGGGCUGAAUUCAGAUUCGGGCUUGGGCUGAAUUCAGAUUCGGGCUUGGGCUGAAUUCAUUUUUGAUGUGAAUUUGGGCUUGGGCUGAAUUCAUUUUGGAUAUGGAUUCGGGCUCUGGGCCAAUUUGGAUUUGGGGCUAAUUUGGGAUUUGGAUUUGGAUUUAAUGUUGGAUUUGGGCUCUGGGCCAAUUUGGAUUUGGGCUCUGGGCCAAUUUGGAUUUGGAGCUGAUUUGGGAUUUGGAUUUUUAAUGUUGGAUUUGGGUUUGGAUUUGGAUUUAAUGUUGGAUUUGGGUUUGGAUUUGAUAUGGGUCUGCGUGGUUUGGAUGGAAUUGAGCUCCGAUUUGUACUUGAGUUUAAGUCGGGUCGCGUUGAGUUUGAAUUUGUGAAAUGAAUAUAAUUUGGUCUAUACGAGAGUGGAAAUCAAAAUAUUUCAGUAUCUCGUUCAAAAUCAAAUUCAUCCAAAAUAUGUUCCGAAUUUGUCAAAUUCUCAGUCAUGAAUUCUUCAACUUAAUUUAAUUUGGAGCAUCAAAUGUCCACUAUGAUUAAAUCUCGGUUUGGUCUAAUUUAGCUAAAUCGAGAGGUUCGAUCUUGGAUAGAAUUAAGGGGUUCGACCAUUUUUCGAACAUCCCGUUAUUCUUCCAAUAAAAGGACGAUCAAAAUAAUAUCUGACUAAUUUUCUUUGUCUCUUUUACAUUUAUGGGACAACUAAGGCGGGAUAAAUCCCUUCCUUGCCUCCCUAACAAAGCUCCCUCUCUCUUUCAUAAGUAGAGAAGUAAUAUCUCUCUCUUUUUCUCUUUUUUUUUUUGUAAAGAGGAGAGCACCGCUCUCUCUCUCAGGAUCGUCGUCGAGUAGUUGGUGGGCGGCUUCGUUUGAAAGGAGAGCACCGCUCUCUCUCUCAGAAUCGCUGUCGAAUACUUGGCGGGCGGACUCCGGGUACAUCGAGCACUUGGCAGGCGGAACCCGUUUGAGAGGAGAGCACCGCUCUCUCUCUCAGGUUCGCCGUCGAGCAGCUGGUGGGCGGACUUGGCUUCAUUUGAGAGGAGAGCACCGCUCUCUCUCUCAGGAUUGCCGUCGAGCAGCUGGUGGGCGGACUCCAUUUGAGAGGAGAGCAACGCUCUCUCUCUCAGGUUCGUCGUCGAGCAGCUGGCGGCUUUGUUGAUGACGGAGCUCCGCUGUGGCUGUGUCCUGACAGUAGAGCCGCGGAUCUGAGACCGCGACGGAGCCACGACAGCGGUGCGGUUCGGCCUCAGCGUGGAUGGGGGAGGCCUUGGACGAGCUCGACGGCGGUGCGACCCGGCUUCGGAACGAACAUGGCACCGUCAGGGUCGACGGUGGUACGGCUCAGCUUCGGAGCGGACAAAGGGGGGCCUUGGAGCGAGCUCGACGAUCGGUGCGGCUCGGCUUCGGAGCGGACGAGAGGGCCUUGGAGCGAGCUUAACAGUCGGUGCGGCUCGGCCUUCGCUCGACGGCGGUGCGGCUCGGCUUGCGCUCGACGACGGUGAGGCUUGGUGAGGCAUUUGGUCGAACAGGUGGCGGGUGGAGGGAACGAUGCAGUAAUUUUGCUUCAGAAUCUCCUUGUGAUCGGAGAAGGCGACGUCGCGAUCUCGGAGCGGACAGAGAAGGGGGAAGCAGCGAUACAUCACCAAGUCCGACGGGAACUUGGGUAGCCUCGGGGCGGAUCGGCCGCGGGUGGCGCGGCUUCGGGCGGAUCGGCCGCGGGUGGCGCGGCUUCGAGCCGAUCGGCCGCGGGUGGAGCGGCUUCGAGAGGACCGGCCGCGGGUGGCGCGGCUUCGGGCGGAUCGGCCGCGGGUGGCGCGGCUUCGAGUCGAGGACGGCAGCGGGCCUUCGAGCGGCUAAGGCCAGAGCGGCUUCGAGCGACUGAGAGCGACGAGCUCGGUGGAGCGAGGAGGCGGACGACCUCUGCGGCACGGACGUCGAGCGGGGAGGAGGACAGCCUCGGGUCGGGGAGCCUCGGCGAUUCCGAGGUCGGCGAGAAGCGACGUGACCUCGGCGCAGGGAUCGGCGAGGAGCGACGCUGCCUCGGGCGCAAAGACCGGCGAGGAGCGACGGCCUCGGGUCGAGGUGUCCCGGAGCGACGCGGGCGAGCUUCGUUGCGGGCGAUCGAGGCGUCUCGGAGUGGCACGGGUGGCCUCGGAGCGUGCCUCGGGUCGGGGUCGGAUCACAUCCGGGAGCGGCAGCGGCCGCCAUUGGAGAGGGAGAGAGAGAGAGAGAAAGAUA